AUUGAACGCUGGCGGCAUGCCUUACACAUGCAAGUCGAACGGUAACAGGUCUUCGGAUGCUGACGAGUGGCGAACGGGUGAGUAAUACAUCGGAACGUGCCCGAUCGUGGGGGAUAACGAAGCGAAAGCUUUGCUAGUACCGCAUAAGAUCUACGGAUGAAAGCAGGGGACCGCAAGGCCUUGCGCGAACGGAGCGGCCGAUGGCAGAUUAGGUAGUUGGUGGGAUAAAAGCUUACCAAGCCGACGAUCUGUAGCUGGUCUGAGAGGACGACCAGCCACACUGGGACUGAGACACGGCCCAGACUCCUACGGGAGGCAGCAGUGGGGAAUUUUGGACAAUGGGCGAAAGCCUGAUCCAGCCAUGCCGCGUGCAGGAUGAAGGCCUUCGGGUUGUAAACUGCUUUUGUACGGAACGAAAAGACUCUGGUUAAUACCUGGGGUCCAUGACGGUACCGUAAGAAUAAGCACCGGCUAACUACGUG
RNAcentral lists this ribosomal RNA (482 nucleotides) under uncultured bacterium. RNAcentral's name for it is "partial 16S ribosomal RNA". It matches the Rfam family "Bacterial small subunit ribosomal RNA", at positions 30 to 507 of the family's 1533-position model. The record is from RNAcentral.